This 253-nucleotide ribosomal RNA is filed under the name uncultured bacterium. RNAcentral describes it as "partial 16S ribosomal RNA". It matches the Rfam family "Bacterial small subunit ribosomal RNA", at positions 524 to 776 of the family's 1533-position model. The record is from RNAcentral.
UACGAAGGGGGCGAGCGUUAUUCGGAAUCACUGGGCGUAAAGCGUGCGUAGGCUGUUUUGUAAGUCGGAAGUGAAAGCCCAGGGCUCAACCUUGGAAUUGCUUUCGAGACUGCAAGACUAGAGUCCGGGAGAGGAUAGCGGAAUUUCCAGUGUAGUAGUGAAAUACGUAGAUAUUGGAAGGAACACCAGUGGCGUAAGCGGCUAUCUGGACCGGUACUGACGCUGAGGCACGAAAGCGUGGGGAUCAAACAGG